AACGGGUGAGUAACGCGUGAGGAACCUGCCUCAAAGAGGGGGACAACAGUUGGAAACGACUGCUAAUACCGCAUAAGCCCACGGCUCGGCAUCGAGCAGAGGGAAAAGGAGCAAUCCGCUUUGAGAUGGCCUCGCGUCCGAUUAGCUAGUUGGUGAGGUAACGGCCCACCAAGGCGACGAUCGGUAGCCGGACUGAGAGGUUGAACGGCCACAUUGGGACUGAGACACGGCCCAGACUCCUACGGAGGCAGCAUG
RNAcentral lists this ribosomal RNA (255 nucleotides) under uncultured bacterium. Its description in RNAcentral is "partial 16S ribosomal RNA". It matches the Rfam family "Bacterial small subunit ribosomal RNA", at positions 101 to 353 of the family's 1533-position model. The record is from RNAcentral.